RNAcentral lists this ribosomal RNA (492 nucleotides) under uncultured bacterium. RNAcentral's name for it is "partial 16S ribosomal RNA". It matches the Rfam family "Bacterial small subunit ribosomal RNA", at positions 29 to 507 of the family's 1533-position model. The record is from RNAcentral.
AGUGAACGCUGGCGGUAGGCCUAACACAUGCAAGUCGAGGGGCAGCACAGUAAUAGCUUGCUAUUACGGGUGGCGAGUGGCGGACGGGUGAGGAAUACGUCGGAAUCUACUUUUUCGUUGGUGGGAACGCAGGUGAACGUACGCUAAUACCGAAUAGGACUUACGGGUUAAAAUAUUGGAUCUUCUGAACUUGUUCGAGUGAAUGAUGCGAUGGCGGCUUAGUUUGUUGUCGGGGGAAAGGCCCACCAAGGCGACGAUCCGUAGCUGGUCUGAUAGGAUGAUCAGCCCCACUGCAACUGAGACACGGUCCAGACUCCUACGCGAGGCAGCAGUGGGGAAUAUUAGACAAUGCGAGGAAGCAUGGUCCAGCCCUACCGAGUGGGUGAAAAAGGCCUUCGCGUUGUAAAGCCCUUUUUUUGGGAAAGAAAAGCAGCAGGUUAAAUCCACGCUGUUCUGACGGUACCCUAAGAAUAAGCACCGGCUAACUUCGUG